AAGGUGCCGGGGUUUCGCCCGUUUUUUUUGAGCGGGCGAAG
Molecule: transfer RNA, 41 nt
Filed under: Cnemaspis sundainsula
Lineage: Eukaryota; Metazoa; Chordata; Lepidosauria; Squamata; Gekkonidae
Description: partial tRNA-Cys
Source: RNAcentral